GUCUGUGGCCAUACCCUUCUGAACAGGCCUGGUCUAGUCUGAUCUUGAAGCUAAGCAGGAUAGGAUCUGGUUAUAGUUGGAUGGGGAGACCUAAAUAAUCGGGGCUGGAAAAG
Molecule: ribosomal RNA, 113 nt
Organism: Cricetulus griseus (Chinese hamster)
Lineage: Eukaryota; Metazoa; Chordata; Mammalia; Rodentia; Cricetidae
Source: Ensembl